GUUGUUCACAAACACAGCGGUCAGAUGCAGCGUGGAUGUGCGCCGCUGUCUUGACACGGAGAAAGGCGUAUUAAAGGAAGGAAAUUCUGGCUGCUUGAGCCUGCAGUCCUUGCACCACUCUUCCGUCAGUGCGUCCGUACAUCUGUGUCUUACCCGUCAUGCCUGGCGCGGCUUCAGCUCUGCGUCUGUCCGUGGUACGCUCACUGCGCCUGCGCGUCCCCACCUGGCUGGAACAUUGCGAUGCCUCCGAAAACCGGGUUUCUGUAGCCAAUCGCUCGCUCUGGAAAACGAAGCUAGGUGUUGACAGACCCAGCAGGUUGGGUGCCGGUUGGAGAUCGGGGCUAGGUGUUGAAAAACCCAGUCUGUAUGAAAGUCGGAACGCAAGGAAAGGGAGCCUAGGAAGCGCCAGGUUGUGGCUGGUGCAUCAAUGGAGAAAGCUCGGAGCUAGAAGCUGACUGAUUCCCAGAAAAGUGACAGUUUAGUGGACAAACGUCUCACGUCAGGCCCUAUAGGGCGUCUUCAAUAUUGCUGUCCUUGUACUUUGUUUCCAACUGAUGUUUGAAGGCAAGAUAGACUGAGUGUGAUAUUCUGGCUGUACCGUAUUUUAGACAUAAGAAAUCAACCAGAAAACUGCCAAAUAUUUUCCCUCUCGACGGUCCCGAAAGUCCGCUUCCUUGUGUCACAUUCAUUAUGUUGUAUUGAUAUGGUGGGAAUG
Molecule: long non-coding RNA, 715 nt
Organism: Branchiostoma belcheri (Belcher's lancelet)
Lineage: Eukaryota; Metazoa; Chordata; Leptocardii; Amphioxiformes; Branchiostomatidae
Exons: 4
Source: RefSeq, a predicted model, not a curated record